This is a long non-coding RNA of Clupea harengus (Atlantic herring), 782 nucleotides long. RefSeq lists it as uncharacterized. The record is from RefSeq and is a predicted model, not a curated record. The transcript has 3 exons. NCBI's taxonomy places the organism in Eukaryota, Metazoa, Chordata, Actinopteri, Clupeiformes, Clupeidae.
UGCACAGACGGCAGUGCCAAACGACGCUCAUUAGACGAGCGCAGCGUCCUGGGUGUAACAUUUGUGUAACAAAUGUGUAACAUUAGUGUUGUGUGAGGCUUUGGGAUGCAGAGAAGUUGUCCAUGAGUGUGGUGGUGGUUAGCACAUCAAGUCUAAAUCCAAGAGAUCCAAGAAGAUCCUGCUAGAAUUAGUUGCUUCACAGUACAGCACCUUUGAGAGCAACUGUUCCAAUAUAUAGAAUAUAAUAAUAUAUAUAUACAAUAUAUUCCCUUUUAACUUCACAGUACAGCACCUUUGAGAGCAACUGUUCCAAUAUAUAUAAUAAUAUAUAUAUACAAUAUAUUCCCUUUUACACGGCAUGCGUGUGACCUGGACAUGGACGUCAUCGCCUGUGUGUCAAACUUAAGACUUAAGACCUCAUUUCAGUUUGCGUACGUACUGAAGUACUGUAUAUAUACUGUGUGUAGGGUUUUCUUUUUCCCGAACAUGGAACAUCUACAUAUACUAUAAUUUCCCUACCAAGUAGGCUAACACUAGUCAUGCGGUGUGGGAUUUGAGGUGUUAUUUUGUCAUUUUUUACUGAUCAUUUUGUUUUUGUUCUUGUUUUCUCUGCUCUCUGUAUACUUCUGCUGUCCCCUGCUUACUUCCUGUCCUAUUUCCUUCCUGUUGGUCAGCUCUGCUUCUUCAUGACUGUGGUGAAUUUGUGAAGACAGGCAGGGACAUCUACCGGAAGGUUCAGGGCCGAGAUAACCACGUCGCUUCCACCAUUAUCAACAUAGCAG